UGUGUGUGUGUGCGUGUGGCAAUCGCAAUACAUUCCACUCGAGACAACGUGUGACGAGGGUGAAGGUUCAGCCCUGCAGUCUGCCUUCUCGCUCUGCUGCUGGUGGAAGGACCUCCACUAGUGGGUGCUCUUGAGAACCUUCUUGAGCAGUGUUCUUCACUAAUUUUCAGAGAGGGGGCCACUUUCGCCGAUAAGACAUCAUCAGUGUGAGGGCCGCCACUAAUUGAAACCACUGGGUUUGACAGCAGCACGAUGAUGGGCGGUGUUGUCACGUGUUGUGUAUUAUCUGGACCGUACGUCAGGGGCCGCCAGUGCCCGCGGGCCUUGCAAUGAGGAACACUGCUCUUGAGGGUAUUUAACCUACUAUUCUACGCUGGUGAGAUGUCUUGGGUGGGGUGGGAAGUUACCCACGUUUUACCUCACCACACAUGACCUUUCAAUUGACGAGCUUUUGUGUUUCAGUUUAUACUGCUGGGUGGACAUGGGGGGGGGGGGUGGUAUAAGACACUUGCCCUUGAUUUCAACUGUCACGCUGGAAGAUUGAAUCAAACUCGCAACCUCGCAAUUGCAAGUCCACUGUGCAAAAAAUUACACCACCAGCAUCCAUUUAAUGAGAGUCGUUAUUUACCCAGGUAAGCAUCACAUGGGCAUGUGACAAUGUGGUUGGAGCACGUGACGAUCAGAGGAUUGUGAAUUCAAAUAUUGCUUAAGCGAGUUAAAUAAUCCUUCAGGGGCAAAAUAAAUAAGGUACCACUUUGUGGGAAGCCAAUCGUGGUCAUCCUAUGAAUGUAGUGCUUCCUGUAAUGGUAAUGUGCAGCUCCAAGCACUAUGUUGAGGGCCACCAAUGGAAAUGAGCGCUGCAACAUUUCUAGUUCGAGUUAGAAGGUACCAUAGCUGACUCGGACUGAGUCACCAUAGAACUGUAAUUGCAUGUAUUUUUUAUUGCCAUACGCAAGAAUAAGAUGAAAUCUAGAAUUUAUUUUAGGAAGGACCUGCUGUGGGGAUGUUUGGCCAUAUCAAAUUUUGAAUACCCUGUUCAUGAUGGAGAAAAGUUUAGUACCCAGAGAAAACCCAUUCAUUAUAAUAAGGAAUGCUAUUUAAUAUAAACCAAUCUGUAUAGAUAGCACUGUGGUCUUCUUUGUGGUACUGCAGCUUGGUUAUUCUGUAUUUGGAAGGCGCAUGUGCAUUAUGAUCGUUACAUGAGUCACAAAUCCUGCUUGUACAUAGUGCUGAUAAUUCUGUUAUAGUGCACAUUUUUUCUCUCAUGAAAUCUCUUCAUGAAAUGCAUUCGCGUGUUUUGUUAUUAACUCUUUUCCACUUGGCCUUUAAUGUCCUAUGGCUUAAUAGAUCAUUGAACUACACAGAUCAACAUCUAUUGAGAUGGAGAAUCCAAUUUUAAAAGAGACUGGCUUUUAAAUAGUGUGGGCUUGUUGUUUAUUGAAAUCUCACUUUGUUAAAGAAUGCGAAAGCUGCUUGAGUAUUACUAAUUCUCAAGCGUGUCCAUGUGAAUGUAUUAGAGCUCUGAUUUGUCUGACCUUGAUUCCAAACCCCAAUAAUGCACAUCCCACAUUGCCCAAGUCGAGUGAACCCAAAUAAUCAAUUAACUGAUUAAUAUAUUUCUGCACUGUCCUAAAUCUAGUUCUGUAAUGUGAGGCCACUGAUUUAUUAGUUCUAUUAACCUAUUCAGCCUUCCGUGUGUGUUCUUACCACUUAACAGCCAUGGCUCAAACUCUGCCUGCUGACAUAAUUUAAACGGGGGCGGGGGGGGGACUGAAGCCCUCUGGUUAUUGACAAAACACUCAAUUAGUAGCAGUGGAGCCCUUAGUUGCUCUCUAAGCACAAGGCACAAUUAAUUGUGAUUUGUCUCCUCUCAAUUUUUCCAAAGCCGUCGAGUGGCACCCUUGAUCUUGCUGACCUUGAAGUUUCACGUGGCUUGUGGGAAAUGUGUAACGUGUUACUCUUGAGUCAUGUUGUCAGCUCGGAAUGCGAAAGAAACAACCGUGUGGUCUAGCUAGCAAGGCUUGGUAAAACCAUGCUUCUCUUCAGCUCCACACUGGUCAAGUGCUUUCAAAUCGUAACUCAAGAGAAUAUUGGCCUGUCUGCAAAAGUUGACAGGAGGUUUGGAGUCAACAAACAGCCGUGCAUAUUGUGUAUGAUCAGAGAUAAACUACUGAAACAAACCCUUUUUUCUGCUUUAUAUUUGUGCUUGAGGUCUGCAUUGUAUCUGAUAUCAUUUUAAUAAUAUCAAGCAUUGCAUUGUGACAGUUAAACUCGUAACAUUUUAUGAAAAUAAAAUGUAUCAAUGAUGUCUGCAUGUAUAUGGGCUUACAAUUAACUGUGGUCAUAUAUUUCACUUGAAGGUAUUGAAAAUUGCAUGGCUUGCAAUGGUGUAACUCUUGUAAAUUGAUGGAAUCUAAAAUAUCCCCUUUUAUUUUGUUUAGCCGAAGGAGAAGUGGAUAUUUUACGUCCCAUUAUUUUGCAGAAAGAAUGUUUCUUUACAAUAUUCUUCAUAUUAAUGUAUCAAUGGGACAGUUGAACCACACUGGCUCUCUGAGGAGUGUGCUAACCACUAAGCUUUCUACACAACAUGCCAUGUAGGAAGUGUGGGAAGUGUAAAAAAAUGUAAACCCGCUUCUUGGACCAGCUCAUGGGUACAAGUCUUUUCACUCUGCUUGGCGAUUAUUGACAGAGUUCCUUGAUGCCUGCAGCUGUUGACUCUCUUCAGCGUUGUCACAACGUUUGUAGCACUGCAAUUGACAAGGGAGUUGUGAGGUGGAUGGUUUGGGUGGAGAGAGUGGGACGUGCGAUGUGGGAGCAUGGGAAGAGGGUGGUAGUGGUAGGCACCCUAAGGACACGUUUCUUUUAAGUGCGAGAUGAAACGGAGCUUUCUUCCCGAUAAGUAUGAAUGCUUUGAACAUUUUUAGAAAAGACACUUAAGAGAUUUAGAGAGCACGUGGCACUUUUGAGUUUCCCCCUGAUUUCACGCUGUGUAUUAAUGUGGAAACAAUGUAUUCGGCCAGUCAUGCUACUUCUAAAUCUGGCUUGCAGCUAAGGUGUGCAUGCACAUGGAGUUUUCUGUGGUAUGCAUAAUUUUAAGUCCUUGACCACCAACCUAUGGGCCGUGUAUUAACACACUACUGCCAUCCAUUGUACUUGGGUUUACGAUGACAUAAACACUAUCAUGGAAUUACAACAAAGUCAAACAUCUGUAAGAGUUAGAUUUUUUUCAGGAGCUAUUUUUAAAAUUCAUUUUGCUCAUUAAUGUAGUCUGCAUUUAAAAUGUCCAAUGUCAUCGCGUCAUUAACACUGGGAAAUUCCACCACGCUAAUUUUAAAUGAUGCAAAAAGUAAUUACGUUUUGAAGGAAGGCCACUUUCACAGCUGUACUGGUGGAUUAUAAUCAAUCCAUCUUCGCUUGUGGCGUAUUCAGACAGUGAUAUGUCAUAGUUACCUUGAAAAGUGUGUAUCAAUGUUCAAUGUAGUAUUAAAUGUGCGUGUGUGUGUAUAUAUAUAGUACACAUUCAAACGCAUUAUAUAAUUGUCAUGACACAGAAAAUAUUUAGAUGACAUUUUUUUAAAAUGUAAAACUAGCAGCCACAUGUCCUUUGGACUUGUCUGUCCGUCCCACCAGCCAGACAGCCAAAAAGCCAGCAAAAUAUAUAUUUUUUAUAAUAAGCUUAUGAUUAAUAAGAGUAUGAUUAAGCUUCUUUGUAAAACGAUAACAUUAGCAAGGUCCAUUUAUAAAAAUUAGACCUAGAUUUGGAAAUACACAUGUACAUUACUUUUUUUUUCGAUUUAAAGCUUUCGUGACUGCAAGGAUUCAU
Long non-coding RNA from Petromyzon marinus (sea lamprey), 3823 nucleotides. RefSeq lists it as uncharacterized. The record is from RefSeq and is a predicted model, not a curated record. NCBI's taxonomy places the organism in Eukaryota, Metazoa, Chordata, Hyperoartia, Petromyzontiformes, Petromyzontidae.